RNAcentral lists this ribosomal RNA (250 nucleotides) under uncultured bacterium. Its description in RNAcentral is "partial 16S ribosomal RNA". It matches the Rfam family "Bacterial small subunit ribosomal RNA", at positions 355 to 619 of the family's 1533-position model. The record is from RNAcentral.
UCAAGAACCUUCCGCAAUGGACGAAAGUCUGACGGAGCGACGCCGCGUGAUCGAAGAAGCCCCUCGGGGUGUAAAGAUCUUUUAUGCAUGAAGAAAUUAUUGACAUUAGUGCAUGAAUAAGGGGCUCCUAACUCUGUGCCAGCAGGAGCGGUAAUACAGAGGCCCCAAGCGUUAUCCGGAAUUAUUGGGCGUAAAGGGUGCGUAGGUGGUUAUGUUAGUCGCGUGUCAAAAAUCCAGGCUCAACCUGGGG